UCACCUGAACAAUGAGGAUUAUUACGUAUAUCAACUUCCACCGACUCCAGGCUGUAACGUGGCCUACUGCGGCGCAGGAGAACAAGUGGAACGAUGUCCUACAGGAGAAUUUAAGUUAAAUGGAAGAUGUGUCACUAAGUUGCCUGUCAUCUCUAUCACCAACGUCAUCAUUGAGACUCCAGUCGUGGAAGAACGACAGGUGAUCAUAUCGUGCCGUGUGACAUACAACGUGCCCGCUGGCACGCGUGAUGAAGGCGACGUCA
Molecule: long non-coding RNA, 263 nt
Organism: Lingula anatina
Lineage: Eukaryota; Metazoa; Brachiopoda; Lingulata; Lingulida; Lingulidae
Source: RefSeq, a predicted model, not a curated record